RNAcentral lists this non-coding RNA (212 nucleotides) under bovine gut metagenome. The record is from RNAcentral.
AUGGUCGGUUCCGGUCAAUGUUUUGACCGGUGAAAAGGGAAACGGGUGAAAAUCCCGCGCGAACUCGUCACUGUGAUCAGAUAUGUUCCUUUCAUGUAAGCUUUAGAAAAGUUGUGCUGAUAGUUGUACAUCAAAAAGAGCUUACAGUCACUGAGAAAUCGGGAAGGCGGAAGGAAACGAGAUCUGUAAGCCAGGAGACCUGCCGGUCGGAA